Molecule: ribosomal RNA, 133 nt
Filed under: uncultured bacterium
Lineage: Bacteria
Description: partial 16S ribosomal RNA
Rfam family: Bacterial small subunit ribosomal RNA
Source: RNAcentral
AGGGAAUAUUGCGCAAUGCCCGCAAGGGUGACGCAGCAACGCCGCGUGUGGGAUGAAGCAUCUUGGUGUGUAAACCACUGUCAGUUGGGACGAACCACUACAGCAAGAAACGGUUGUAGUCUGACGGUACCAG